Molecule: long non-coding RNA, 370 nt
Filed under: Capsicum annuum
Lineage: Eukaryota; Viridiplantae; Streptophyta; Magnoliopsida; Solanales; Solanaceae
Description: long non-coding RNA (CANN_LNC009676)
Source: RNAcentral
AUACAUACAACCUAAUUCCUCAUCAUAUUAUUGCACAAUACAUACAACCUAAUACUAUUACAACUCAACUAGGUUCAUCACUAGAACAACUAAAAAAACAUCAUGUUCAUAUACUAUGUUUAUAACAAUCUCCUUUCGGUCACAUAAUACAAAAUAUCAUAAAUAUUACAUAAUCAAUUAAUAAUAUAGUUUUUGGGAUUAAAGUUAAGUACUCGUACCUUUAUCCACCUCAACUCCAUGCCCGCAGGCCUAGCAUACUUUCUCCCAUCAAUUCUAAAUUAUGAAAAUAUAAAAUAAUACAAUCUUCUACUCAUUGAAACCUAUCCUACCUGGACGCCAAGAUUUUGGAAGAAGCAAGCUGCAAAAAGGA